GAAAAAAUCUACGUCAGUAUACCUGUUAAAAACAUGGAGUGACUUUCUCCAGCCGAAACGUGUGUUAUAAACAGAUCGCUCAGCAAUGAAACUUCGGUCCAUUUUUCGGUCGAACUAACAUCAUCAAGUCCUGAUUGACCAUGACAAAACGAUUUGUGCAAUGAACCAAUGAACGUUCUGACUUCUGAGUGAUGAAAAGUUACCUGUCAACGCGAUGGUAUGAUGACUUCCACAAGCCACGGAGAUUAUUUUAGCUGGAAUUGAUGUUUUGGUAGGAAUCCAUUGCUCUUUUUGAUCGUGAUCGUUGAUACCGAGUUUCCCAUUUUCGCAAUUACCACACAGAAGCAAGUCACCUGAAUCUUUCACUUGGACUAUCGUUUCUGGAAUGUUGAGUUGUGUUGGAUCUGCAUAUAUGCUGACAUCGGAUUGAACUAAUCCAAGUUGGCCAUCGCUGUUGCUUCCCCAAACACUAAACCAACCUGUUAGUAAAGCUGAGUGUUGAGAUCCUGCUGAUACUUGUAUUAUCUCGUCUUCUAAUUCUGUAACGAACAUCGGUAACGCAACGUAAUCAAGCAUUUCACUAUCGCCAAUGCCCAAUUGCCCAUCGGUAUUGCAACCACAACUGUACACUUUGCCAUUUUCUACGAUCAAAGCAAAUUACUGUCCCCAUUCGUUACUGCCAAAACUGAAAACUCUGCCAUUUUCUACGCGUGAAAAAAGAAGGAGAAAUAUUAUUCAAUUGAUUUGUUUCGAUGUACUCGUACCUACCUACCUACUGUAGAAAUGAAAACAUAUAAUACAAAUGAAAUGAAAAUGAAAAGUGUGGAACGCAUCGCGUGUGAAAAUCGAUGCAUCGUCUGUGUCCAACAACAUUCCUCAAAGUAUUAAUAAGUUGAAAUAUUUACUGCAAACAACGGCCGUAUGUUGAUCGCCGCAGGAAAUCUCUAUUAUUGGAUCAUUCUUGAUGAAAAAAUGGCUCGGGAUGUUAUCUGCGAACCUGCUUUGGCCGAAUGUGAAUACUGCACCGGUUUCUGUUGGAAAUGAACAAAGUUUGAUUGCUGAUUGUUCUAUUAAUGGAAUUCAAGUAUUUCGAAUGAAUUUGGAAUUGUCGUUAAUCAAAUGCAGACAGAAAAAUCUCGACAUGUACAGCUGUGAGAUGAUAAUCUUGGUGAAGACGCUGACUAUUUUUACUGACGCAAAUCCGGAGUCUUUUGUAAGAUUUUAUGAAUUGAAAUUUUUCUUCACCAUUUUGGAGUUUUUUCUCGAAAGUUUGAGAAUGGAUUUAAGUUGCUAAAGAUUUGACUUAUUUUUGUCCUUCUUUCUAGAGUUUUAAAUAUUUUUGCUUUUUUCGUUUAGAAUUCUGUUUAUUGGUCAAGUUCGGAUUGAGUAUGUUUAAAGUAGGUAGGUGGAAAUCAAAUCCUUAUUCGUCCUAAUUACCUAUUUUCUACUUCUUUGGAGGGUUUGAAAAUUAUGGACGUACUAGAAAUUUUCCUGGAAACUCGAUGAAAUGAAAAAGGUGAAAUUUAGUUCUAUGCGAUGGAUUUUGUAUAGGAAACAAUUUUUUUCGUCAAGUAGAGAGAUGGCUUGUCAAAAUUCCAUAAUUUUUAUAAUUAAUUUCAAAACCAGACUUAGAAAAUCAGAAUUUAUUUGAGCAGGUAGAAUUCACUAGAAAAAUGUAAUUUUCAAAAAUCAAAGUUUUAAAAGCUCUAGUCAAUUUUCGUGCUUUUGAAAGAAAUUUGAAAAUUGUGGGAAAAAAUUAAAAUUUUUCUGGAGACUCCGAAUCGACCAUAGGAAUGAUGAGAAUUUGUUUUGGAAAGUAUGGAUGUUUGGUAGAAAAUUAAUAUUUUUGAAUUUUGCUGGAAAAUAAGAUUUUUUAAAUCUUCAAAAAUUUUUCAAAAUGUGUCAUUUCCAAAAAUGAACAUUUUUUGAACGUUCAUUGUUUUGAACGCUCUCAGGGACGAUGAAAGAAAUUGCCAUUGAUGAUCUUAUUGGAUUAAAACAUGAAUAUUGAAGCUACCUAUUUGACUUAUGUAUUUUUAGUUUUCUCAAAAAAUAUGCUUCAAAAAUAAAAACGUUCUCUUUGAAACUGAAAGAAUUACUAUUUAUGGAAGUUCCUCGUCUCUUUUUCUUGUCAACAACUGAACAGAAUUGCUUGCUAUGCAUUUUCGCCAUCAUUACUCAAUUCAAAAGUUUGGUAAUCCUUUGUUUUGAAUUAAUUUUUUUAUAAAAAAAAGUAUAAAACGAGAUUCGAAGCUUUUUAUGUAAUUUUUUCAAAUCAAAAAUUUUGUCAAUUAGAGAGAUAGCCUACCUACUCAGUUCCAAGCCUAUUUGCAUGAAAUAAAUUCAAUUUUUUCGAGUACACAUAAACAUGACAUAACUUAUGUCUUUUUAAAAGCAUCAGGCCAAUAUUUCAUGUUUGAAAAGUGUAGGUACCUUGUAACACGAAUAUAGAAAUAUGAUCACGAUACCGUGCAUAAAUUUCGUAAAUAUGAUAUUUCGAUGUUAUGUCUAAAAAAUUGUUUCGUCUCUAUCACACUAUAAAAAAUCGAUCCAAAAGAACGCUUUGUAUCCGGUACUUUGGCAAAUUACUCUUGUUAAGAUGAUUUAAAAUAGUUUUCAAAAUUAUCAUUUCAGAUUUUCUACACAAACUACAAAUUGAUGAAACAAAACCUACAUAGGUGCAAAAUAUGACUAUAAAAAACUAGAUAAAUUAAUAUUAAAAAACUUACCAGGAAUAUCAACGUCAUUCAUGAUACCUAAACAGACAACGUUUAUAAACAUCUAUACCUAGGAAUUGUAUUUGGACGAAUUUUAGGAUAUACAAUAACGCACUUUUAUCACUAUAGUGAUACACCACAGCCCCUCCCUCGUUCAUUCAUUUAGACACCCUUUACAAGUAGAAUUUUACGUGUGGCACACCUGCUGCUGCUGUUGUUGUUGUUUCUACCCUCGAAUAAUGUACAGAGUAGGUACAGGUAGGCUACGUGUACGUGGCGUUUUUGGCGUUACAAGUUAACACGAGUGAGUGACCGUUACAUGUUUUAAGGCUCUUCUUUAUUAUGUAUUUCGGUAGUCUACUGCGAAUUUUUUCAUUUAUACCUACCAUUUGGCUGAUAAGUAUCGAUUUACUCCUAUGUCGAUGUGAAAUCAAUAAUAUUUUUAUAACAAUGUAAAAUUUUUUAUAUUUUCAACAAUAUGUAGAUAAAUAUUUUACAUCACAAAUGGUUAUUAAAAAUUUCUCGACGUAUAUAUUUACAAAUCAUACACGUACAAUUUGGUAAUAGGAAAUCUUCCAAUCAUUGGUUACCAUAAGUAAAAUAUUAUACGAAAUCUAGAAAAUACAAUAUUACUUAAUUCCAUAGGCGUAUUUGAAAUUUGCGUUUUUUAAAUUUCUACAUAGAUAGGUAAUACGUACUCUUCUUGGUUUCGCGAUUAAUUAACAAGUAGGUAAUUAAAAACAUCUUACGAAUAUAAUUCGUUAAAUUUAAUAAGUUAUUACAAAAUAGUACUCGCUGCUCCGACUAAAAUCAAAAAUAAACAUGACUAGAAGUUACACUCAACCGAAACAUAUGUUAACGAAAUGUAAUCAUGGAACAUAGUAUGGGGGUAGAAGGGGAAAUUCUAUGAUCAUCGCAAAUGUACCAUAAUAUGUAUUAUGCAGUAUAAAAAUUACUCAGCUGGGUAAAAUUACUCGAUAAAUUUCACUCCAAGGGGUGGGUUCCCCUUUCAAAUAAAAUAUAAGCACAUUGAAAUAAUUUACUAUAUGGUAAUAGAUGAUCGA
Long non-coding RNA from Planococcus citri (citrus mealybug), 3781 nucleotides. RefSeq lists it as uncharacterized. Lineage: Eukaryota; Metazoa; Arthropoda; Insecta; Hemiptera; Pseudococcidae. The transcript is spliced from 8 exons. The record is from RefSeq and is a predicted model, not a curated record.